RNAcentral lists this ribosomal RNA (375 nucleotides) under uncultured bacterium. RNAcentral describes it as "bacterial SSU rRNA". It matches the Rfam family "Bacterial small subunit ribosomal RNA", at positions 521 to 896 of the family's 1533-position model. The record is from RNAcentral.
UAAUACGUAGGCAGCGAGCGUUGUUCGGAGUUACUGGGCGUAAAGAGUGUGUAGGCGGUUAGGUUAGUUUGGUGUGAAAUCUCCCGGCUUAACUGGGAGGGUGCGCCGAAUACUGCCUGGCUUGAGUGCGGGAGAGGAAAGCGGAAUUCCUGGUGUAGCGGUGAAAUGCGUAGAUAUCAGGAGGAACACCUGUGGUGUAGACGGCUUUCUGGACCGUGACUGACGCUGAGACACGAAAGCGUGGGUAGCAAACAGGAUUAGAUACCCUGGUAGUCCACGCCCUAAACGAUGCAUACUUGGUGUUGGCCAUUCAGUUGGUCAGUGCCGGAGCUAACGCGUUAAGUAUGCCGCCUGGGGAGUACGGUCGCAAGGCUG